AUUCCAGCUCCAAUAGCGUAUAUUAAAGUUGUUGCGGUUAAAAAGCUCGUAGUUGGAUUUCUGCCGAGGAUGACCGGUCUGCCGAUGGGUAUGCACUGGCCGGCGCGACCUUCCACCCGGAGACUGCGCCUACUCUUAACUGAGCGGGCGCGGGAGACGGGUCUUUUACUUUGAAAAAAUCAGAGUGUUUCAAGCAGGCAGUCGCUCUUGCAUGGAUUAGCAUGGGAUAAUGAAAUAGGACUCUGGUGCUAUUUUGUUGGUUUCGAACACCGGAGUAAUGAUUAACAGGGACAGUCAGGGGCACUCGUAUUCCGCCGAGAGAGGUGAAAUUCUCAGACCAGCGGAAGACGAACCACUGCGAAAGCAUUUGCCAGGGAUGUUUUCAUUG
Molecule: ribosomal RNA, 388 nt
Filed under: Gephyrocapsa cf. muellerae
Lineage: Eukaryota; Haptophyta; Isochrysidales; Noelaerhabdaceae
Description: partial small subunit ribosomal RNA
Rfam family: Eukaryotic small subunit ribosomal RNA
Source: RNAcentral